RNAcentral lists this ribosomal RNA (758 nucleotides) under Yoshimuria galbina. Its description in RNAcentral is "partial large subunit ribosomal RNA". It matches the Rfam family "Eukaryotic large subunit ribosomal RNA", at positions 167 to 943 of the family's 3401-position model. The record is from RNAcentral. Lineage: Eukaryota; Fungi; Ascomycota; Lecanoromycetes; Teloschistales; Teloschistaceae.
GGCGCGGCGCCGGUCUAAGUCUCUUGGAACGGGGCGUCGUAGAGGGUGAGAAUCCCGUAUGCGACCGCCGACCAAGGCCAUGUGAAACUCCUUCGACGAGUCGAGUUGUUUGGGAAUGCAGCUCAAAAUGGGUGGUAAAUUCCAUCUAAAGCUAAAUACCGGCCAGAGACCGAUAGCGCACAAGUAGAGUGAUCGAAAGAUGAAAAGCACUUUGGAAAGAGAGUCAAAAAGUACGUGAAAUUGUUGAAAGGGAAGCGCUUGCAACCAGACCUGCGCGCGGGCGAUCAACCGUCCUUCUGGGCGGUGCACUUGUCCGCGAUCAGGCCAGCAUCGGUUCUGGCGGCCGGAUAAAGGCCUUGGGAACGUAGCUCCCCUCGGGGAGUGUUAUAGCCCUUGGUGUAAUGCGGCCAGCCGGGACCGAGGACCGCGCUUCGGCUAGGAUGCUGGCGUAAUGGUUGUAAGCGGCCCGUCUUGAAACACGGACCAAGGAGUCUAACAUCUAUGCGAGUGUUUGGGCGUGAAACCCAUACGCACAAUGAAAGUGAACGGAGGUGGGAACCCGCGAGGGCGCACCAUCGACCGAUCCAGAUGUCUUCGGAUGGAUUUGAGUACGAGCAUAGCUGUUGGGACCCGAAAGAUGGUGAACUAUGCCUGAAUAAGGUGAAGCCAGAGGAAACUCUGGUGGAGGCUCGCAGCGGUUCUGACGUGCAAAUCGAUCGUCAAAUUUGGGUAUAGGGGCGAAAGACUAAUCGAACCAU